AGCAAACAGGCCCUUGUGCGCUGCUUCGGCCAUUGCCUUCCCUCCCACCUGUCACGCAAACCCUUUGAGGCCUUGAUAGUGGACUACGCCGCGACCUGGUCCACGGAGAGAUAACGCCAUGGUGGCUCGCAGGUUCGUAGUCCGGGAGGUCCCCGCCGACGAGGAGCACACGGUCGAGUACGACACGGAGGACGGACUCGACGUCCUCCGGUUUCAGAUCUUCUCGCUCACCUCCGUCCCGCCCGACCUCCAGAAGAUCGUAGUGGAAGCGGAUGGCUCCGUGGUCAACGACGGCACCGACCUCGAGUCAAUUCCCGAGGGCCUGUGCCUCAUGUCCAUUGACGAGGGGGAGAACGCGGACUCGGCUUCGGCGGCGGCGACGGCGCAGGAGAAGUCCGAUGAGGAACUGGCGAGGUUGAUUGAGAUCGAGGUGGAUGCGGAUGGCUCCGUGGUCGACGACGGCACCGACCUCGAGUCCAUUUCUGAGGUCCUCCGCCUCGUCCCCAUCGGCGAGGGGGAUGACAUGGACGCAGCGGCGGCUGUAGCUGCGAGGGCGCAGGAGAAGUCCGACGAGGAGCUCGCGAGGAUGAUUCAGGCGGAAGAAGAGGCACUUCUACUGCAACAGUACAGCAUACAAAGUGACGGAGGAGAGGUUUUCAGAGAAAGAGUUGAGCCAUACAUGCGCCAGGUUCUGAAGUACGAGGAUCCGGUGCGUCAGGAAGCAGCUCUGAAGACGGUUCCUGUAGAUGAACUUAAGGAGAAGGCGCUGAUUUCACUGGCCAAGGAAGGGAUCUUCAGUUCUUCGAAAAAUGAAGAGGAUCAUGCCUUUCUGUUGCAAUUGCUUCUCUGGUUUAAGCAAUCAUUCAGAUGGGUUAAUGCACCAGCUUGUGACAUCUGUGACCGUGAAACAUCUAUGGUUGGAAUGGGAAACCCACUUCCCUCAGAAAUUGAAUUCGGUGCCUCCCGUGUCGAGAUCUAUAGGUGCAACCAUUGUUCGAGCAUCACCUGUUUCCCAAGGUACAAUGAUCCGUAUAAGCUUAUACAAACUAGGAAAGGACGCUGUGGAGAAUGGGCGAAUUGCUUCACAUUCUACUGUCGAGUUUUUGGAUAUGAAGCUCGUUUGAUUCUGGAUUUCACUGAUCAUGUUUGGACAGAAUGUUUUUCAAACCUCUAUGGGAGAUGGAUUCACUUAGAUCCAUGCGAAGGAGUCUAUGAUAAUCCCUUGCUGUAUGAGAAAGGGUGGAACAAGAAAUUAGAUUAUGCAAUUGGUAUCUCAAAAGAUGGAGUACAUGAUAUAACAAAACGCUACACCAGAAAGUGGCAUGAGGUUCUCUCUAGGCGGACCAUUACCUCCGAGGAUACAGUUUCAGCUAUUCUGAUGAAUAUAACUAGAAAGUGUCGCAGUGGAUUGUCAAGUAAUGAACACUUAGCCUUAGAAAAACGUGACAGGAAAGAGUCCGAGGAACUUAGUAAAGCUACCUAUCUUGAAGUUAACAACAGCAUAUCUCUACCUGGAAGGCAAAGUGGUUCUGUGGAAUGGAGAGCAGCAAGGUCAGAAUUGGGCCAAGCAGACUCACUCAGUUGCUCGUCGUGUCCUAUUCGGAGAUGUGUGGAUGCUCAUGUUUCAAAAAUACAUGAUGCUCUUUCAGCUAUUCUUUCUCAUUUUUGUGAUAAUAACAUCCCUAAUGAAAGAAUCAUUGAAGUUUUUGUCACAUUGAGGAGCUUGAUGCAAAAUCUUAAAGAUGCUAACUUCAAAAGCAGGAGAGUCACAUUAGAUCAAAAAUCACAGCAAAUUUUUGAGAUACUUCCCUCUGCGGAAAGAUUGCUUUCUGCUAUUUCUUUAAAAGCAGAGUUACACACUGUUGGAGAUCCAUCCGUGGCUACAGAUGGAAAUCUAAUACAUACAUCCUUAGCAUUACCAGUAGCACUAGAUGCAGUUGAUGAGAUACUAAGUAACUAUAAGAGCAAUAUCUUUUACACAAAAGGUCAUCAAUUCCCAAGAGGCAAUAGACUCUGUUCAGGUUCAGUCCUUGCAAGCAGUGAGCAGCUCCCAAUUGGAAUUGCAACAGCAGCCUUUGACGGCAUUCGCUUGUCCAAAUGGGAAGAACCUGAUGGAGCCAAAGGAUGUUGGCUAAUGUACAAGGUGCAUGGUGGCCAAACUUGCGAGUUGGAGUCAUAUGAUUUGAUGUCAGCUAAUGAUGCUCCCGAGAGGGAUCCAAUGGGCUGCCCUACAACUACAGGGGACACACCAGGCCAAGGCAGGGCAUCUCAAUUGAACAUCUUUAUCUCCUGGGGAUUUGUUAGGAUUAGAUUCCAGGGUCCUUGAAGGGAGCACAGACCAAAGGUCUACCUGGAAUACUAUUGAUGCUCGGAGUUCUGUAAUCUUUGGCAGCCGUUUCUGUAGGAAAUCAUUUACUGUUGACAAGAGAUACAAAGCAAAUGUACUUCGGUUUCGGUUUCUACGUGGGAGAGAAUCUAGUGCCAAUCCAAGGUUUCAAAUAGGAUCCAUCGACUUCUACGGGGAAACACACAUGGCCUGAUCGCAGGUGUUAAUUUGUGUGUACAAAACCCAACAAAACCUUGUCGAAUCAUGCACGUAUCAUGACCAGUACUAUAUAUGCAACCAAUAAUUGUACUGAUUAUAUUGGAUGAUUGUAAAUUCCGGUUCUACUCUGGAAGAGGUUCUUUUCCUUUCAA
Molecule: RNA transcript, 2697 nt
Organism: Triticum aestivum (bread wheat)
Lineage: Eukaryota; Viridiplantae; Streptophyta; Magnoliopsida; Poales; Poaceae
Gene name: peptide-N(4)-(N-acetyl-beta-glucosaminyl)asparagine amidase
Exons: 18
Source: RefSeq, a predicted model, not a curated record